GGUUAAGCGACUAAGCGUACACGGUGGAUGCCCUGGCAGUCAGAGGCGAUGAAGGACGUGCUAAUCUGCGAAAAGCGUCGGUAAGGUGAUAUGAACCGUUAUAACCGGCGAUGUCCGAAUGGGGAAACCCAGUGUGAUUCGUCACACUAUCGUUAACUGAAUACAUAGGUUAACGAGGCGAACCGGGGGAACUGAAACAUCUAAGUACCCCGAGGAAAAGAAAUCAACCGAGAUUCCCCCAGUAGCGGCGAGCGAACGGGGAGCAGCCCAGAGUCUGAAUCAGCUUGUGUGUUAGUGGAACGGUCUGGAAAGUCCGACGGUACAGGGUGAUAGUCCCGUACACCAAAAUGCACAGGUUGUGAACUCGAAGAGUAGGGCGGGACACGUGGUAUCCUGUCUGAAUAUGGGGGGACCAUCCUCCAAGGCUAAAUACUCCUGACUGACCGAUAGUGAACCAGUACCGUGAGGGAAAGGCGAAAAGAACCCCGGCGAGGGGAGUGAAAAAGAACCUGAAACCGUGUACGUACAAGCAGUGGGAGCACCUUCGGGUGUGACUGCGUACCUUUUGUAUAAUGGGUCAGCGACUUAAUAUUCUGUAGCAAGGUUAACCGUAUAGGGGAGCCGCAGGGAAACCGAGUCUUAACUGGGCGUUAAGUUGCAGGGUAUAGACCCGAAACCCGGUGAUCUAGCCAUGGGCAGGUUGAAGGUUGGGUAACACUAACUGGAGGACCGAACCGACUAAUGUUGAAAAAUUAGCGGAUGACUUGUGGCUGGGGGUGAAAGGCCAAUCAAACCGGGAGAUAGCUGGUUCUCCCCGAAAGCUAUUUAGGUAGCGCCUCGUGAAUUCAUCUUCGGGGGUAGAGCACUGUUUCGGCUAGGGGGUCAUCCCGACUUACCAACCCGAUGCAAACUACGAAUACCGAAGAAUGUUAUCACGGGAGACACACGGCGGGUGCUAACGUCCGUCGUGAAGAGGGAAACAACCCAGACCGCCAGCUAAGGUCCCAAAGUCAUGGUUAAGUGGGAAACGAUGUGGGAAGGCACAGACAGCCAGGAUGUUGGCUUAGAAGCAGCCAUCAUUUAAAGAAAGCGUAAUAGCUCACUGGUCGAGUCGGCCUGCGCGGAAGAUGUAACGGGGCUAAACCAUGCACCGAAGCUGCGGCAGCGACACUAUGUGUUGUUGGGUAGGGGAGCGUUCUGUAAGCCUGCGAAGGUGACCUGUGAGGGUUGCUGGAGGUAUCAGAAGUGCGAAUGCUGACAUAAGUAACGAUAAAGCGGGUGAAAAGCCCGCUCGCCGGAAGACCAAGGGUUCCUGUCCAACGUUAAUCGGGGCAGGGUGAGUCGACCCCUAAGGCGAGGCCGAAAGGCGUAGUCGAUGGGAAACAGGUUAAUAUUCCUGUACUUGGUGUUACUGCGAAGGGGGGACGGAGAAGGCUAUGUUAGCCGGGCGACGGUUGUCCCGGUUUAAGCAUGUAGGCUGGUUAUCCAGGCAAAUCCGGAUAAUCAAGGCUGAGGUGUGAUGACGAGGCACUACGGUGCUGAAGUAACAAAUGCCCUGCUUCCAGGAAAAGCCUCUAAGCAUCAGGUAACAUCAAAUCGUACCCCAAACCGACACAGGUGGUCAGGUAGAGAAUACCAAGGCGCUUGAGAGAACUCGGGUGAAGGAACUAGGCAAAAUGGUGCCGUAACUUCGGGAGAAGGCACGCUGGUGUGUAGGUGAAGUCCCUGCGGAUGGAGCUGAGACCAGUCGAAGAUACCAGCUGGCUGCAACUGUUUAUUAAAAACACAGCACUGUGCAAACACGAAAGUGGACGUAUACGGUGUGACGCCUGCCCGGUGCCGGAAGGUUAAUUGAUGGGGUUAUCCGUAAGGAGAAGCUCUUGAUCGAAGCCCCGGUAAACGGCGGCCGUAACUAUAACGGUCCUAAGGUAGCGAAAUUCCUUGUCGGGUAAGUUCCGACCUGCACGAAUGGCGUAAUGAUGGCCAGGCUGUCUCCACCCGAGACUCAGUGAAAUUGAACUCGCUGUGAAGAUGCAGUGUACCCGCGGCAAGACGGAAAGACCCCGUGAACCUUUACUAUAGCUUGACACUGAACAUUGAGCCUUGAUGUGUAGGAUAGGUGGGAGGCUUUGAAGCGUGGACGCCAGUCUGCGUGGAGCCAACCUUGAAAUACCACCCUUUAAUGUUUGAUGUUCUAACGUUGGCCCCUUAUCGGGGUUGCGGACAGUGUCUGGUGGGUAGUUUGACUGGGGCGGUCUCCUCCCAAAGCGUAACGGAGGAGCACGAAGGUUAGCUAAUCCUGGUCGGACAUCAGGAGGUUAGUGCAAUGGCAUAAGCUAGCUUGACUGCGAGCGUGACGGCGCGAGCAGGUGCGAAAGCAGGUCAUAGUGAUCCGGUGGUUCUGAAUGGAAGGGCCAUCGCUCAACGGAUAAAAGGUACUCCGGGGAUAACAGGCUGAUACCGCCCAAGAGUUCAUAUCGACGGCGGUGUUUGGCACCUCGAUGUCGGCUCAUCACAUCCUGGGGCUGAAGUAGGUCCCAAGGGUAUGGCUGUUCGCCAUUUAAAGUGGUACGCGAGCUGGGUUUAGAACGUCGUGAGACAGUUCGGUCCCUAUCUGCCGUGGGCGCUGGAGAAUUGAGGGGGGCUGCUCCUAGUACGAGAGGACCGGAGUGGACGCAUCACUGGUGUUCGGGUUGUCAUGCCAAUGGCACUGCCCGGUAGCUAAAUGCGGAAGAGAUAAGUGCUGAAAGCAUCUAAGCACGAAACUUGCCCCGAGAUGAGUUCUCCCUGAGACUUUAAGUCUCCUGAAGGAACGUUGAAGACGACGACGUUGAUAGGCCGGGUGUGUAAGCGCAGCGAUGCGUUGAGCUAACCGGUACUAAUGAACCGUGAGGCUUAACCUU
This 2903-nucleotide ribosomal RNA is filed under the name Klebsiella pneumoniae. Its description in RNAcentral is "23S ribosomal RNA". It matches the Rfam family "Bacterial large subunit ribosomal RNA". Lineage: Bacteria; Pseudomonadati; Pseudomonadota; Gammaproteobacteria; Enterobacterales; Enterobacteriaceae. The record is from RNAcentral.